RNAcentral lists this ribosomal RNA (541 nucleotides) under unidentified microorganism. RNAcentral's name for it is "bacterial SSU rRNA". It matches the Rfam family "Bacterial small subunit ribosomal RNA", at positions 53 to 587 of the family's 1533-position model. The record is from RNAcentral.
ACAUGCGAGUCGAGCGGCAGCACGGGUACUUGUACCUGGUGGCGAGCGGCGGACGGGUGAGUAAUGCCUAGGAAUCUGCCUGGUAGUGGGGGAUAACGCUCGGAAACGGACGCUAAUACCGCAUACGUCCUACGGGAGAAAGCAGGGGACCUUCGGGCCUUGCGCUAUCAGAUGAGCCUANGUCGGAUUAGCUAGUUGGUGAGGUAAUGGCUCACCAAGGCGACGAUCCGUAACUGGUCUGAGAGGAUGAUCAGUCACACUGGAACUGAGACACGGUCCAGACUCCUACGGGAGGCAGCAGUGGGGAAUAUUGGACAAUGGGCGAAAGCCUGAUCCAGCCAUGCCGCGUGUGUGAAGAAGGUCUUCGGAUUGUAAAGCACUUUAAGUUGGGAGGAAGGGCAGUUACCUAAUACGUGAUUGUUUUGACGUUACCGACAGAAUAAGCACCGGCUAACUCUGUGCCAGCAGCCGCGGUAAUACAGAGGGUGCAAGCGUUAAUCGGAAUUACUGGGCGUAAAGCGCGCGUAGGUGGUUUGUUAAG